RNAcentral lists this ribosomal RNA (516 nucleotides) under Candidatus Woesearchaeota archaeon. Its description in RNAcentral is "partial 23S ribosomal RNA". It matches the Rfam family "Archaeal large subunit ribosomal RNA", at positions 799 to 1325 of the family's 2987-position model. Lineage: Archaea; Nanobdellati; Candidatus Woesearchaeota. The record is from RNAcentral.
AGUCGAUCUAUUCCUGGGUAAGGCGAAGCCUCUCGAAAGGGGGGUGGAGGCCCGUUACCGGUUCUGAUCCUAUUCGUUCGGGUGAUCUGGGAAUAGGGGCGAAAUACCAAUCGAGACUGGAGAUAGCUGGUUCCUCCCGAAAUGUGUCUUAGCACAGCCUGGCUGGAGACAGAUGCAAGAGUAGAGUUACUGAUUUGGGGGUUAGGCCUGGAAACAGGUCGCCUCCUCGUCAAACUCCGAACAUUGUAUCGUCAUAGAAGGCCGGAGUGAGGGCAUAUGCGUAAGGUAUAUGUCCGAAAGGGAAAGAACCCAGACUAAAGUUAAGGCCCCAAAAUUCUGAUUGAGUGCAAUUGAAGCACGUCUUAAAUCCAAAACAGCGGGGAGGUUGGCUUAGAAGCAGCCUUCCUUUAAUGAGUGCGUAACAGCUCACCCGCCGAGAUUUAGGGCUGCGAAAAUGGACGGGGCUAAAUCAGAUGCCGAGACUUUAGCGUUGUAACAACAACGGGUAGGGAGGUA